Molecule: ribosomal RNA, 496 nt
Filed under: uncultured bacterium
Lineage: Bacteria
Description: partial 16S ribosomal RNA
Rfam family: Bacterial small subunit ribosomal RNA
Source: RNAcentral
GAUGAACGCUGGCGGCGUGCCUAAUACAUGCAAGUCGAGCGACAGACGAGGAGCUUGCUCCUCUGACGUUAGCGGCGGACGGGUGAGUAACACGUGGAUAACCUACCUAUAAGACUGGGAUAACUUCGGGAAACCGGAGCUAAUACCGGAUAAUAUAUUGAACCGCAUGGUUCAAUAGUGAAAGACGGUUUUGCUGUCACUUAUAGAUGGAUCCGCGCCGCAUUAGCUAGUUGGUAAGGUAACGGCUUACCAAGGCAACGAUGCGUAGCCGACCUGAGAGGGUGAUCGGCCACACUGGAACUGAGACACGGUCCAGACUCCUACGGGAGGCAGCAGUAGGGAAUCUUCCGCAAUGGGCGAAAGCCUGACGGAGCAACGCCGCGUGAGUGAUGAAGGUCUUCGGAUCGUAAAACUCUGUUAUUAGGGAAGAACAAAUGUGUAAGUAACUAUGCACGUCUUGACGGUACCUAAUCAGAAAGCCACGGCUAACUACGUG